GAUUUCUGGCUUGAAACAUUUUGCCGGCCACGGUUUCGUGUGUUAGUGCUUGGUGUUCUGGCCAUCCUUCCAAUCGCUAUUCAUUCUUCUUCAUUGAGGGGUGAGUGGUAUUGGAUCUUUUACUUUGAAAAAAUUAGAGUGUUUAAAGCAGGCAUGCCGCUAUGAAUACAUUAGCAUGGAAUAAUAAUUUAGGACUUCGGUUCUAUUUUGUUGGUUUCUAGGACGGAAGUAAUGAUUGAUAGGGAUAGUUGGGGGUGCUAGUAUUCAGUGGCCAGAGGUGAAAUUCUCGGAUUCCCUGAAGACUAACUUAUGCGAAAGCAUU
Molecule: ribosomal RNA, 322 nt
Filed under: Sandonidae sp.
Lineage: Eukaryota; Cercozoa; Glissomonadida; Sandonidae
Description: SSU rRNA
Rfam family: Eukaryotic small subunit ribosomal RNA (bases 110-322)
Source: RNAcentral